UCCUCGGUAGUAUAGUGGUGAGUAUCCCCCCCCCUGUCACGCAGGAGAGCGGGGUUCAAUUCCCCGCCGGGGAG
Molecule: transfer RNA, 74 nt
Filed under: Acropora cervicornis
Lineage: Eukaryota; Metazoa; Cnidaria; Anthozoa; Scleractinia; Acroporidae
Description: tRNA-Asp
Rfam family: tRNA
About the family: Transfer RNA (tRNA) molecules are approximately 80 nucleotides in length. Their secondary structure includes four short double-helical elements and three loops (D, anti-codon, and T loops).
Source: RNAcentral